UGGGCUGUGGCUCAGUGGUAGAGCACUCACUUAGCAAGUGUGAGGCUUUGGGUUUGAUCUCCAGCACUACAU
Molecule: transfer RNA, 72 nt
Filed under: Ictidomys tridecemlineatus (thirteen-lined ground squirrel)
Lineage: Eukaryota; Metazoa; Chordata; Mammalia; Rodentia; Sciuridae
Description: Spermophilus tridecemlineatus (thirteen-lined ground squirrel) tRNA
Rfam family: tRNA
About the family: Transfer RNA (tRNA) molecules are approximately 80 nucleotides in length.
Source: Rfam by way of RNAcentral